RNAcentral lists this long non-coding RNA (23986 nucleotides) under Malus domestica (apple). Lineage: Eukaryota; Viridiplantae; Streptophyta; Magnoliopsida; Rosales; Rosaceae. The record is from RNAcentral.
UCUACUAUAAGGACUCACCAAUUGGAGGUAAUAUUCCUAUAGGGACACAAAAAUUCUCUAUAAGUCUCUUAAUGAGUUCUUCUAUUUGGUGGUCGGAGUCUCUAAAUAGGGACACCCAUUGGAGAUGCUCUAAAAAGAUUAGCAAUUCUUACUUGUUGAACAUCUAUCUCUCGCCUAUGAAUAGAACUUUCAUCAACAAUCUAUUCAUGUGCAGGCGGAAGUAGCUCAUCAUCAUCAUAAGGUUGUAAAUCUUGAUCGUCAUGAAAUGAUUCCAAAUAAAAUUGUGUAAAGUCAUUGAAGGAACAACAGUUUGUACCUGUUUUUCAAAAGCGAAGCUACGCGUGUGAAGAAUCAUUGUCAAUCUAUUUUUCCAAACACCAAAAGUUCUUUCAAAUUGUGCAUCUUAGGGAUGAAUGCCUAUGAUAAAUAUCUAUUUUUUACUUCUUGGCUGACUUCCAUGUCAAAAUUCAAGAACAUGAGUUUCUGCUCCUCUUCUUCUCCACCAACCUCUCCUCAAAAGCCUCAAGGAUUUCAUGGAUCAGCUGCCGGUUUGGCGAAAUGUCCCACCGUGCCCAAAAACUCAUGUAGCUCCGGAAGCAGUCGCACUGGAACGUAAGAGGGUGGUCCACCCAAAACUAUUUCAAACCAGAUUUGAUCCAAGAUGCUAGAAGACAUUACUAGCAACAAAUUACAACAAAACCAAGAUAAUUUUACCUCUUUUUUUCAAGGGUUGUAGCUUGAUUCCAUUAGAGCAACUCUCACCGAGAACCCCUGCUUGGAUUAUCCUACUUCCCAUUACAAAAUUUAACAUGCAAUGGUACCAUAGUUAUCCCCAGCUUGCGCAUGUCUUGUAUUUUGGUGGUUUGGGGUCUCAAUUAAAUUGGAAUUUGUUGUGAUGGUGCUUGGAGUUCUUUUUGGCUAUGGUGGUUUAGAGAGAAGGCAGAGAGUUCGAAAAGAGAGAGAGUUCUGGAGUGUUCACAGGAGAAAAGGAAAAGAACAAAGAAAAGGGGAAGAAAACAGAGUGGGCCAGGUUACAAACACAACACAGUGGUGCAUUACCGUUAAGUUUCAUAAAUAGUGUAGUAAGUUUCAUAAACAGUGUCAUAAGUUUUCAUAAACAGUGUAAAAGUUUCAUAAACAGUGUGAGGACAUGAGUCCGCGUGUCAAAUUUUUUUUUAAAUUUUUUAAAUAUUCAAAUUAUGUCAUUUUCAUUAAAAUUUAAGUUCUUUUGUCCCUUUUAUUAAAAUUUAAGGGUUUUUCAUUAAAAUUUAAGUCUUUUUAAUUAAAUAAAGUUAUAGCAUGAUUUUAUAUUAAAAUAAACUUAGUCUAAACCCCUUUCAUGAAAGUUCCCUAAUUAUAAUCAACUCCCAAUCCGGAAAGGAAAAGGAUUCCUAGACAAAUAAGGAAAUCUGGUCCGCCACGUCCUAUUCGAUUUGGGUUUUCUUAAUUUAACCCUAAUUCAACUCACUAUGAAUGCCUGACCCAAACAAAAAAAAUAAAUAAAAAAAUACUCACUCAGAGUCUCUAUAUAUUCCUCCACCCUCGUAAGUUCACACCUCAAAUUGUCGAGUUCUCUUACGUGCCCCGACAACAUGAAGCUCAGCGAGAACUUGAGGCUUAGGCUUUUCAACAGGGCUUUCGACUCCUCAAAAUGCGACAAAACAAUAGUGUUGGUGGUGGAUAGGAUACGCAAGUUAAGGAAGAGGAAAGAGGAGGACAUUGUGAAGAUGAGGAACAAAAUUUCUGCUCUCUUGCAGUGUGGUCAAGAGCCAAUUAAUAAAACUUGCACUGCUCGUAUUUUGAUCGAAGAUCUGAUAAGAGAAGAAAACAUUUUGGAGGCGUACGUGUUGAUCAAGGGUUUUUGUAACUUAGUUAGGGGUAGGCUCUUAGUUAUUCAAGUGCAGAGGGAAUGCCCCGAAAAUUUAAAACAAGCGAUUAGUAGUUUAAUUUUUGCAGCUAAAAAAUGCUUCCACGAGAUUCCAGAAUUAUUGACACUUGAGAAAUUUUUUAAGAUGAAGUAUGGAAGUGAUUUUGUGCAUGCGGCUACUCAAACCAACUGUGUUACUCCCGUGAUGGUUGAGAAGCUCUCAAAUAGAAACUCUACAGACGAAGAAAUAGAGAAGAUUAUUCAGCAAAUAGCCAAGCCAUGCAAUAUAAAUGGAGAACAACAAGCGUGGAACUGUCAUCCCACAGCACCAUACUUAUAUGAUGGAGUUGCGUACAAUGCUUUUCUCAAUUAUAAGUGAAGAAAUUGUAGUAUCCAAAUUGGAGUAGUUUACUCUUUGAAAAAGAAAUUGGCUGUUUACUAUAAUGUAGCAAGGAAUGAUGUAUGACAAGAGUGCUUAUUACUUUUUUUUAUUUUUAUUUUUAUUUUUAAGUUUUAGUUUAGAGUAAUGUUAUUCUUACCAUCUAAAUAUUUUUCAUAUCACCUUAUACAGAAAUUGAAGUGGACUAACACAUCAAUUUAAAAAAGAUCUUGUACCAGCAGAGGUGAAUAAUCACAUUAAUUAAAAGAAUGAUCUUUUUUUUUUUUUUUGAAAAAAAGGGGGGGCAAUUGGUGGCAAACCAUGGUUAUCCAUCCAUUUAGGGGAACGAGAAGACUCACUGAGGCAUUUCAGCCUUUUUUUUUAUUUUUUAUUUUAAGAAAUUGAUGAAACCUUAAUGUUCACGUUUUCUAGGCUCAUAGUUGCCUCCUUCUUCCUCUCAUCUCUCCAUCAUCAUUUUGCUUUUCCAACGAUUGAUGGUACCCCUCCACCUUUGCCGACAACUGAUCAAACCUCCACAAUCACAAGUGAGGGGCUUAGAGUAAGAAGACAGUUCAUCCCAAAGAUCUUUGAGUUUGGUGUAGUAUGUGAAGAUUGACCGCUGUCCCUGGCAGCAUUAGCCAAUUUCUUGUUGAAUCUGAUAAGUCCUUGAAUUAUUGCCUUGUAAGAAUCGAUCCUCAAGAUCCUUCUGUUUGCCCCCUAAAUUCACCAUGGACCUCACGGACAUUUUAGAAAUUUACUCGAACAAUAAACUAGUGGGUGCGAGCGUGCCAUUACAAGAUGCCGCUAGUAGACGGGAUUUGAAUGAUUGAGAUUGCGCCUGACUACGGCUUCUAACCAAGAGAUUGUGCCAUUGAGUGGGAGUGGCUCAAAUCAAGGUUCUUUCUUUGCCAUAAAGAUAAGGACUUCACUUAUGUGGAGAAAUGUAACAACAUGUAAAUGGCAGGUUUGCUAGAAGUGUAAAUGACUGGUAUUAUAGAUUGCUUGUAAAUUAAAUGACUAGAAAUGAGUUGUGCAUAAAUGUAAUUAUUUAAAGUACAAAACAUUAUAAGUACAAAGGGAUGCCAAAUACAAGGUUCAAGCUUGUUCCCAAGGGAUCAGGCAAGUUGCUCUAGUCUUGUGGCAAUUUCUAGUGGUUUGGGGAAUGGGUUUGAAGGUUGUAAAUAAAAAUACAAAGGAGAUCUAUACUACCGAGUGAGCAGCAAAGCAAUAAACCAGGAAAGUAAAGGGUGCUUGGCUAAAAGUAAAUGUUUACAAGGAUAUUAUAAAAGAGGCCAACUCAGUUUUCCACCACAUGUGUAUUAAUUCUACUUGCAACAGAUUAAUAUUUAAAAAAAGCAAGUUGGCUUCUUUCCUGCACAUGUCCAUCUCCAAGCCUGCCAACGUCCUUACUCACAAUAAAGCCAUCGAUUUAAAUCAUGUGGAGAAACAUUCUCACAUGCAACUUUUGGUAUAUUUGAAACUAGUCCCCCCAAAAUGUCAUAUUUUGGCUUUUAAACCCAAUUAAGUAAAAUUGUGCAUAUUUUAGGUGCAAACAUCUUCCACACAAUAGUCGAGGUUUGCAAUAAAGUAUACUGCCAACAAUAGUACUGUGCACUGAUUGCAAGGUCCACAAGAGUACCAUGUCGUUGCAUCUCUGCCAAAUGGGAAAUUUUGCAUUGGACAUGGAUCCUUUACGGAUCCAUUGGUCCUAAUCUACCAAGUCAUAUCAUCCGGGUCAUUGAAAUUUGAUCCAACGGUUAAAGUUAUUAUAACUUUUAGAAUGGGCCCCUUUUUGUAGCCAUUGGAUAAAAUUUCAGUAACCCAAAUGAUUUAACUUGGUAGAUUAGGACCAAUGGAUCCGGAGAGGAUCCAUGUCCUUUUGCAUUGGUGGUUGCCGGAGCUUUAAUUAAUAGACCCAUCAAUAGACUCGAGCUCAUUCUUUGCACUUAGAGGAAUGCGCAUAGAAUGGCACCAUUAUCAAUAGUUGUGUCAUUUGAGGAGUUUUGAACUAGAACAAGAUUCGAUGAAUCCGAUUGAUGUAAGGUGAGAGGAUCAGGUGUGUUUUGCACAGCCUCUGUUAGCUAUGUUUGUAGUAAAGGUUGGUUGUGUUUGUAGCGGAAGAUGAAUGGGUGUCUAGAGUCACCAGGAUCGUGUUGAUCUGAUGCCAUAUAAAUUGAUGUGUGAAUAUUUUUGUACUGGAUAAUUGUAACUGUACAGAGACAAUCCUUUCCUACAAUCACUCCAAGACGGAUCAUGACUAUUUAAUCCUACAAUUACUCCAUAUCAUAUCAUAAUCAGAUCGCUCACUAGUUUGCUUCCUUUAACAGACGCAACUAUUGUAUCUUCAUGCACAACCUUUAUAGUUAACCCCUUUCACAUCUAUAUAAAAGGCAAGUCUCAUUUAGGCAUUCAACUUAUUUAUCAAUUUCAUUUAUAGCAUUAACAAGUGUUUAGUAUAUUUAGACUAAAGGUUAAGCGAGUCUAUAAAGGAGUGAAACAUUGUGUUUCAGUAAGGCCUGCUACUCAUACCAUAAGAGAAUGUUUGGAGAGAGAGAGAGAGAGAGAGUGAGAGAGAGAGAUGUUGAAGAAACGAAGAAACACUGACUUGUAUGACAUCAGUUGAGAGUUACAACGCACCUCACUUUUUCUAUAUCAACUACAUAGCACAUUAAACUUGAAAGCUAACUAACUCUAGCUAUAAGAAACUAACUUUUCCUCUAACAACCUGUUAUUCAUCUUAACUUAUCAUCCCACAGGAUUAUGACCCAUGGCACCUCACAGAAUGAUGACACUUGUCGCUUAAUACCCCUCAAUCUCAGCAAAGAAUUUCAGCCUGAGAUUCAGACAUUACUGCAAAAAUAAUGGAAAGUGAAAUUAAAUGAUCAAAUCUCCUUUUUGCACUCAUUUCUCAAACAAAAUGGUAAUUUGUGUCCAAAUGUUUAAUUCUUAUCUGAAACCAAUGGUGGAUCUAGGAAAUAAUAUUAGGGGGGCUAGUAAGAAUAGCACACAUAGCUCGGAAAUUGUUUUAACCAGAAAUAUCAUGUAUAUCGCCAUUUCAUUAUAUCUUGGUAGGCUUGAAGUCAUUUGAAAAUGCAUACUACACACAUGUUAAUGUACGCAAGGGGUAGCACCCAAGGUAUUUAUGGACAUUCAUCGGGUUUUGGUAGGCCUUAAGUCGGUUAGAGGGCAUGUAUGAAGCCAACUCUAAUCUUCAAAAGGGCAGCACUCAAGGUAUCUAUGGACAUUCACCGAAAUGCAGAGGGUCAGUACCUAAGGUAUCUAUGGCUGGUCAUCGAAGUUCCGGGGGCCAGCUGACCCCCCUUACCCCUUAAUGGAUCCUUCAUUGUCUGAAACAAUGGAUUAAUAUGAGCGGAGAGCAAAUAUCAUAGUCUAGAUUUGGUGUUGAAGACAAAUAUACCUAAAAUUCUUUCAAACUUAAUCGUAUCGUAUCCAAGCAACAUAUGCAGUUAUAUUUCCAAGUUCCUUAUACUCUGCCUCCACUGAAGUUCGAGACACACAAUUUUUUCUUCAAUUUCCAUGAAAUGGGUAUCGCCAUUAUUGUAUUAACUUUGGUAGUCCUAUUUGCAUCACUAUAAGCUAACUCCAAAUUAAUAACUAAAACAUGAAAGGCCACAAUUUAUAAAUUUCCUUGUAGAUAACAUAGAAUCCUUUUAACCUGAUAAAAAUGAGCAUCGAUUGGAGUAGACAUGAACUAUAACAAGCAUAGUUCACAGCAUAUAGGCUAUAUCAUGUCUAGUGAAAGUUUACUGCAAAGCUCAUACUAAAAUCCUAUACAAAGUGCAAGACAAAACUUACAAUGUCAUUCCAGCCUUUUGAAGCACAUCUCUGCAUACUUAGAUUGAGAAAUAAAAACAUCCCAGAAAUAAAAACAUCCCAUUACCCUCAUAGGUGACUUGUAAUCCUUACAAAUUAUAUAAAUUAAUUAAAGGAAAACUAAUCAAAAGAGCUUCAAAUCUUUGCAUUUUAAUCCAAAACCAUUCACUAACUUUAUUUCAUGAUAAGGACAAAAAAAUAAAAAAUAAAAAAUAAACAUAAAAAAAUCCAAGUCGCGCGUCCCUCACCCCUCAAACAAAACCCCCCCCAAAACUCCCAUCAAACCACUUCACCAUCCCCCACCCCAUCAAACCCUAGACAGAUCAAGAAGAGAUCCUGACCCAACCCCAACUCCAGUUAUUGUCACCCCAAGUGCUGCAACAACAAUUGCUAGCAGAUCAAAUUUCAAAGCACCAGCAGCUCCACCACAACUGCGACCAAGUACAGCAGCAUCAAGAGUUAGGUAUAGGAAGUGUUUGAAAAACCACGCCGCCAGCAGCGGUGGCCACGUGCUCAAUGGAUGCGGUGAGUUCAUGCCGGGCGGAGAUGAGGACAAUUCGGGAUCCUUAAAAUGCGCAGCUUGCGAGUGUCAUAGAAAUUUUCACAUAAAAGAGAUCGAUCGCGAACAUGUAUCAAAUAAUUAAUAAACCAACAAUAGAACAGCCACAUAGACUUGGCGAUAAAAGGAUAAAAAUAUGUGUAUAUUUUUAUAAAAAUAAAAUAAAAAUGAUUUUUAAAUAUUUGUAUUUUAAUAAGUAUCGAAGAAAAUUAGUAGAAGAAAAUGUGUUUGGAAGGUGAGAAUGUGCCAAGAAUAUUCAAGAAGAGGAGAGAGAAGAAUGUAGUACCACUAAUUUUUAUAAACAGUGUAAUACUGUUAAGUUUCAUAAACAGUGUAGUAAGUUUCAUAAAAAGUGUCGUAAGUUUUCAUAAAUAGCGUAGUAAGUUUCAUAAAAAGUGUCUUAAGUUUCAUAAACAAUGUAGAAAGUUUCAUAAACAGUUUGUGUGAGGAUUUGCAUGGGUCCACGCGUCAGAUUUAAAAAAAAAUUUAAUAUUAAAAUUAUGUCAUUUUCAUUAAAAUUUAAGUUCUUUUGUCAUUUUAUUAAAAUUUAAGGGUUUUUCAUUAAAAUUUAAGUCUUUUUAAUUAAAUAAAGUUAUAGCAUGAUUUUUUUAUUAAAAUAAAUUUAGUCCAAGCCCUUUUCAUUAAAGUUCCCAUUAAUUAACCAUUAAAAUAUAUAUUAUACAUAUAUUCUUUUAAGCGGUUUUAUCAUAAAUGGUCCCUGAAACUUACCCUCAUCAUUAAGAUAGUCGUUGAAAUUAAAAAUCAAUCAAUGUAGUCCUAGAAAAUAGGUAUCGCAAAUCAAUGUGGUCAUUUCGUCACAAUUCUAUUAAAAUUUCCAUUAAGUGCUGAUAUGGCACAUAAGUGGGUCCCACAAGAAUUACGGUUUAUUUAUUUAUUUUAUUUUAUUUUAUCACAAAUGGUCCCUGAAAUUGACCCAUACCAUCAAGAUGAUCCUUGAAAUUGACCCACACCAUCAAGAUUGUCCCUGAAAUUGACCCACACCUGGUCCCUGAAAUUGAAAAUCAAUGCAUGUAGUCCUUGAAAAUAGGUGUAGCAAAUCAAAACCAUGAGGGCGUGGUUGGGGCCCAAAACGGACAAUAUCAUGCUACGGAGGAGUCGAGCUCGAGAUGUGGUGGGAACCCGGGCCGAGAUGUGACAUUUUGGUAUCAGAGCCACUUUGUCGUAUGGUGCGAGUGUGCCGACAAGGAUGUCGGGUCCCUAAAGGGGGUGGAUUGUAACAGCCCACAUUGCCAGGGGAGUGGAUCCUGUAAGCCUUAUAUGUAUAUUCUCAUCUCUACCUAAAAUGAGCCAUUUUGGGAGCUCACUGGCUUCGGGUUCCAACAGAACUCCGAAGUUUAGUGAGUUCACGCAAGAACAAUCCCAUGAUGGGUGACUCACUGGGAAGUUUUCGUGUGAUUUCUUAGAAACAAAACCAUGAGGGCGUGGUCAGGGCCUAAAGCGGACAAUAUUGUUCUACGACGGAGUCGAGCCUGGGAUGUGGUGGGGGUUCAGGCCGGGAUGUGAUAUAUUUAGUUUUAGAAAUAGUGUGCGUUAUUUUGCUAUAGUUCCAAAAAUAGUGUGGCUUAUUUUGCUUUAGUAUCAGAAAUAGUGUGGUUAUUUUGUUGUAAUUCCAGAAAUAGUGUGGAUUAUUUGUUGCAGUUUCAUAAAGAAUGUUAAUAAUUUUGUUGUGGUUUCAUAAAUUGUGUGGUAAUUUUUUAUGUAGUUUCAUAAAUAGUGUGGUAAUUUGUUGUAGUUUUAAAAAUAAUGUGAGAAACUUUGUUGUAGUUUCAUAAAUAGUGUGGUAAUUUUACUGUAGUUUCAUAAAUAAUGUGGUAAUUUUUGAUGUAGUUUCAUAAAUAGUGUGGUAAUUUGUUGUAGUUUUAAAAAUAAUGUGAGAAAUUUUGUUGUAGUUUCAUAAAUACUGUGGUAAUUUUACUGUAGUUUCAUAAAUAGUGUGGUAAUUUUGUUGUAGUUUCAGAAAUAGUGUGGGUAAAGUUUUAGAAAUAGUGUGAGUAAUUUUGUUGUAGUUUCAUACAUAGUGUGGUAACUUUGCUGUAGUUUUAUAAAUAAUGUGAGUAAUUUUGCUAUAGUUUCAUAAAUAAUGUGGUAAUUUUGAUGUAGUUUCAUAAAUAGUGUGGUAAUUUGUUGCAAUUUCAUAAAUAGUGUGGUAAUUUGUUAUAGUUUCAUAAAUAGUGUGGUAAUUUUGCUGUAGUUUUAGAAAUAUUGUAGGUAAAGUUUCGGAAAUAGCGUGAGUAAUUUUGUUGUUGUUUCAUAAAUAAUGUGAUUAUUUUGCUAUAGCUUCAUAAAUAGUGUGGUAAUUUGCUGAAGUUUCUCAAAAAGCCAAAUAACACUAAACCACACGUUAAUUUUUAACUUGAAAAAUAAAACUCAGAUAUCCAAAUUUAGUAACACCACAAAUUCUAAUAUCAGAAAACCCAAUUCAUGUUCGUCACUGGAAACAAAACUCAUAGUACAUAAGGCGUGGACUUUGAUCAUGACAUCAUCAGGGAUGUCCGUCGUCUUAGAGGAGAGGAUGGUCUCAACCAUCAUCAAUUACUAAAAUUAAUCACUUCCAAAAGCAAAUCCCAAAUCCCAAAUGCAAUCUUGCAAGUUCAACUAGACUACUCAUCAUGACGUUAAUCUGCCGUGAAGACUGCUGGAAUAGCUAUUUAUGAAACUUACCAAGAACUUGGCAUUAUUUAUAAAACUAGACCAAGAAAAAUACAUUAUUUAUGAAGCUGUACUAAUUAUUGCACACUGUUUAUGAAAAUGGAUUAAGAACUAGACUUUAAUUAUGAAACAUGACAAAAAACUAGGCACUAUAUACGAAAGUGGACCAAGAAUUAGGCAUUAUUUAUGAAAUUGGACUAAGAAUGAGACACUAUUUAUGAAACUGUGCCACCUACUAUAUACAAUUUAUGAAACAGUACCCAAUAACUAGACACUAUUUAUGAAAUUCAAUCAAGAACUAUACAUUAUUUAUGAAUAUGGACCAAUAAAUAGUGUUGUACUAUUCAGUUUCAUAAAUAUUAUAAAUAGUGUAGUAUCGAUCAGUUUCGUAAAUAGUGUUCGGUUUCAUAAAUAGUAUAAUACCAUUCAGUUUCAUAAAUAAUGGAGUACCGUUCAGUUUCAUAUAUAGUGUAGUAUCGUUAAGUUUCAUAAACAGUGUAAUUUUGUUCAAUUUCAUAAAUAGUGUUUAUUAUGGACGUUCGAAUCCCGCACACUGGGGUUUUUUUAAUAAUUUUAAAUCUAUAUUCGUUUCCCAUGCCUUUCAGUAAUACGCAACUCAUGCUAAUUAGAACUUUUUUUUUUUUUUUGAAAAACUGGAUAUAUUCAUAACCAGGGCCUAACACCAGAGGAAACAAACAGAAAGCAGUGAAGAGGGGAGCAAAGGCUAAAGACGUAGCACCAAGUGCCAAGUGUCACCAUUUUCACCGCCUAACUACAAUUACGGAGGACAUGGGAGGCCAUCCUUGUUGCCUUUCUCCUUUCACAAAGUUUGCCGAUGAUAAACUAACCCACCCAAAAGGAAAAAGCCAUUCAUAAAGCAAACACAACAACUCCAACUUCAAUAACAAAAACAAACAAAACAACUCCAACUUCCCGAUCGCCAUCGUCUCCACCUUCAUCAUUAUUCAAUUGCAGAAAUUCCAUAACAAAAACAGAACCGUAAAUUGAAAUCAGAAACGAAAUCGCAAUAAGCAAAUCUUUUAAACAAGAAACCAAUUGAACGAGAAAGAGAGCGUGUCAUAUUAACAUAGGAGAAACCGAGCUCCAGAGGCUCGAUUCUAAGACGCUUGCCCGUUUAUCGGAUUUGAUCGAUUCAGUUGAUUCGAAAAAUGGUGGAAUUCGAAUUGAAAAUGAAAAACAGGUUGGGUGGAGAGAGAGAGAGAGAGAGAGAGAGAGAGAGAGAGAGAGAGAGAGAGAGAGAGAUCAAUUCAAUUGCAACAACGGAGGAAGUGGAAUUGAAUUGCAAAUAAAAAAAAUUGGGAAAAUUUGAAAUAGGUCCAAUUUUAUAGGCCUACUUUUGACUUUUGACUUUUAAAAUAAGUCCAAUUUUUAAUUACUUUGGACCCAUAUCAAAAUACCCCAUAGAAAUAAUAGCAAAGAAUAGAAAGAGAGAUCGAGAAAGGGAAAGAGUUAUUGAACCAGAAAAGCUUGGCAUUAGGGGUAAAAUGGGAAACUCAAUGUUUGGGCCAUUUUUAUUGGACUGGUUUAGUGUUAGGCUUUGUCCUAAUCAUUAAAUAAAGUUAUUACAUGAUUUUUAUUAACUUUCAAAGUUUUCAAGUCAUUUUUAUUAGUUUUUAUUUUGUUUUUAUCUGAUAGCAUCAAAAUCUAGAAAAAAAAAAUUGGUAAAGGCCACUGUGAUAUUUUCUUAAAGUAUAAAAGGCAUUUUAGACUUUUGAAAUUGAAAAAGUUCCAUUCGAGGGAGCCAAGUGCUUCCUGUGUUUUCUCCCGGCAACACUUUUUAGGAGGAUGCACCUCCUAGGUGCUUCUUCAAAUCUAACUUAAAGUGUUUCUACUUUUAACUUAAAACACUUCUAAAAUUUUGCCAAACCAUCAUUUUUCACAUGUAAGCGCUUUUAACUAUUUGAAAGCACCUCUCAAACAAAGCCCCGUAAUUCAAGUGCUUGGUUUUGGGGUACUAUAAAAAGUGAGGUUGGGUGAAAUUAAAGUUCGCCAUAAUUGUUCCUAACAGUGUGAGUUUGCUUGUCAUUUUUUUAACAAACAAUAGGAUAAUUUACAUUAAAUUCAUCCAAAUUACGAAAUGGGGGAGAAGUGUUAAACUUGGAAUGUAGUGAGUUGAUUCUUUAAAACUAGGGCAAUCCACCACUUGGAAGUUUAUUAGUUGUAUUCUUUUUAGUUAGGGAGCAUCUCCACCCAUCCCCAAUUGCAAAGGUGAAAUUGCCUUCUUGCCCAAAAGAAGUUGCUCCACCGGUGAAAAAUGGGAAGUGCAAUUAUCGGAAAGCUAGGUGUUUUGGUAGCUGCCUUGCCAAUUAUUACAGGGGCUUGCGCUCGGUUGAUGAAGCAGCAGAGGGAGGUCCACCCCAUGUGAAGGAGACAGAACCAAAUGACUCAAACAUGAUGCAAUAAUAGCAGUUGGAUUUACCAAAGGUCUAUUGUUGGGUUCAAGUCGAGGUGGUUUUGUAGUUGUGACAAAUCCAGACUGAGCCUUUGUUCCUUUUUGGUGUCUCAAAAUUAUAAACAUAAAGUUGUCCAUCAUUGCUAGACAGAAAAAGGAGAGAGAGUGCUUCUAUCAUCACAUCUUUAACAAGUGGCCGUUGGAUUUUCAAUAGUAAAAAAAUAUAAAAAAAUUUGGUGUUGCGCCACGUGGUGCAUUGUGGUGCGUCAAAUUCUAAAAAUUUGAAUAGUUAUGAUUAAAAGAAUCUAAAAAAUCGGCAUUUAAAAAAAAUUAUUAAAAAACAUUAAAAAAAAAACUUACAAAGUUCAUACUUAAAAAAUCUUACAAAGUUCAAUAUACUUGCAAAUUAAACAUUAUUUUUGUUGCUAUAAACAACGAUAUUAUCUUCUAAAGAUGUGGGAGUGUAGGCUAAGCCUCACAAUGAGCUAAUCGAACAUAAGGCCUUUUAAUUACAAGUGAAGAGGAAUACAACUAGACUGUAUUACUAAGUGACAAUUAAACAUUUAAAAUUAAACAAAAAUCUACGGCGAUAAUGUCAUGUAGGAAUAAGACGAAGAAAAUAUUGUAAAUUAAAAUAUAUAUUUGUGAAUAGUAAUUGGUCUUGCCCUUGCCUUCCUUCUUCCAAACAUGUAGACUUGCACAAAGGGAAUUGAAGUGAAUAAUACGGACAAUUUGCUGCCCUUGCCUUCCAAUUGUCAUUGCCCUCCGCCAACAGAUGAAAAUGCUCUUAGGGCUAGUUUUGAGAUUUUAAUGCCUAGACUGGAGCGACAACAGAAAAGCCUCUUAACUAUUUAUGCCUAAUUACAGAUGCACACAAAAAAAUCUGAGUAUUUUCUUUUCACAUUUUGGGGAAUGGAAUGAAAUCUUGAUUAUUUUGUUUUGACUCUUAUAGCAAUCAAUGCAAUAAAACAAAUCUUGAUUAUUUUGAUGGAAAAUGCUAGAGAGACUAAAUUUAUAGACUAAAUUUUGUAAACUAACCGAGUCCAUAGAGUUGGCCAGACCCGAUUCUUCAAAAGUAGAUGGACAAUCAUACUCCAGACACUUUGAAGCUCCUGGUAAAUGGCUUUUCCUUGGCUUCCUUUAGUUGGGAAUAACAAAAUGACCACAAUAGCUGAAGUGCAAAGGAAGUUCCGCUGGACCCUGCGAUCGUCUAGAAGACGGAUUCCAACUCUGCAAAGGAGGUUCCGGUCUGGAAGACGGACUCCAACUCUGAAUCGAGGGUUUAGCAUAUUGUGCUUCUUAUCUAAGUUUUGUGCAUGAUUCGUAUUUGGAUAUGCAACUAGCACAAUUGGAGUUUAUUUUAGGGACGAGAAAACUUCAAUUCAAGAUAGCUUUAGGACCAAGAAAGCAUCGUAGUGUUAUUAAACGCCCCAUCCAGUUACUAUUUAAAUGAGGCCGAAAAAGUAAACUUCAAUACCGGUUAAUUUUAAAGAAAACUAAUGAAAAAUGUUUGAAAACUUUGAGUUUUAACGAAAAAGAUAAAAGAAAGGGUAAAAUGAAUAGUACCAUGAUUAACUUUUUAGUGUAAAAGUGUAGUUUUUCGUUAAAGUGAACAAUACCGGGACUUUUCGUUAAAGUUUCUUUAAUUUUAAUCAAUUCCCAAUCCGGAAAGGAAAAGGAUUCCUAGACAAAUAAGGAAAUCUGGUCCGCCACGUCCUAUUCGAUUUGGGUUUUCCUAAUUUAACCCUAAUUCAACUCACAAUGAAUGCCUGACCCAAACAAAAUAAAUAAAUAAAUAAACCCACUCAGAAACUCUAUAUAUUCCUUCACACCUCAAAUUGUCAAGUUCUCUAACGUGCCUCGACAACAUGAAGCUCAUCGAGAACUUGAGGCUUAGGCUAUUCAACGGGGCUUUCGACUCCUCAAAAUGCGACAAAAAAGCAGUCUUGGCGGUGGAUGGGAUACGCAAGUUAAGGAAGAGGAAAGAUGAGGGCAUUGUGAAGAUGAGGAACAAAAUUUCUGCUCUCUUGCAGUGUGGUCAAGACCCAAUUAAUAAAACUUGCACUGCUUGUAUUUUGAUCGAAGAUCUGAUAAGAGAAGAAAACAUUUUGGAGACGUACGUGUUGAUCAAGGGUUUUUGUAACUUAGUUAGGGGUAGGCUCUCAGUUAUUCAAGUGCAGAGGGAAUGCCCCAAAAAUUUAAAUCAAGCGAUUAGUAGUUUAAUUUUUGCAGCUAAAAAACGCUUCCACGAGAUUCCAGAAUUAUUGACACUUGAGAAAAUUUUUAAGAAGUAUGGAAGUGAUUUUGUGCUUGCGGCUACUCAAACCAACUGUGUUACUCCCGUGAUGGUUGAGAAGCUCUCAAAUAGAAACUCUACAGACGAAGAAAUAGAGAAGAUUAUUCAGCAAAUAGCCAAGCCAUGCAAUAUAAAUGGAGAACAACAAGCGUGGAACUGUCAUCCCACAUCACCAUACUUAUAUGAUGGAGUUGCGUACAAUGCUUUUCUCAAUUAUAAGUGAAGAAACUGUAGUAUCCAAUUUGGAGUAGUUUACUCCUUGAAAAAUAAAUUGGCUAUUUACUAUAUUGAGUAAACUGUCGGUUUACCCCCUGAACUUUCACCUCACUUUCGAUUUCCCCCCUGAACCUUUCCAUUGGAAAAUUAAGGACUCAAACUAAUUUUUUUAGCCAAUUUGUCCCCUACCGUUAGUUUUUCAUAUAUUCCAUCCAUAUUUCCGUUAAGUGAGACCAUGUGCACAACAUGUGAGGGUAGUUAAGUUAUUUCUCUCUUAAAAAUGAUUAAAAAACUGAAAAUAAUAAAAAAAGCAAAACUUUCCCUCUAUUUUUUCCCGCUAAUUCCUAUCCUCGAUUUUAUUUUUCCCUCUCAUUCCUAUGCAUGAGAAAUGACAUAUGGUGUUAUUGUCUACCAUUUUUAUUUUCUCUAACAAAUUAAUAAUUUGACAAAUGCUAAUGGUGCUAUUGUCUCCAAAGCAGUGCAUUAAUAUAAGAAACCCUAGUCUUUUUUAUGGACAUGUUUCUUAUAUUAAUGCACUGCUUUGGAGACAAUAACACCAUGAGCAUUUGUCAAAUUAUUAAUUUGUUAGAGAAAAUAAAAAUGGUAGUACAUGCUUCAAAAAAAAGAUUAACUUAGCUACUUAUGAAGACAAUAACACCAUAUGUUAUUUCUCAUGCAUAGGAAUGAGAGGGAAAAUUAAAAUUGAGGAUAGGAAUUAGCGGGAAAAAAUAGAGGGAAAAUUAUUAUUAUUAUUUAUUUUCAGUUUUUAAUCAUUUUUAAAUUGAAAUGACUUAACUAUCCUCACAUGUUAUGCACAUGGUCUCACUUAACGGAAAUAUGGAUGGAAUAUAUGAAAAACUAACGGUAGGGGGAAAAUUGGCUAAAAAAAUGAGUUUGAGUCCUUAAUUUUCCAAUAGAAAAGUUCAGGGGGGAAAUCGAAAGUGAGGUGAAAGUUCAGGGGGUAAACCGACAGUUUACCCUUACUAUAUUAUAGCUAGGAAUCAUGUAUGACAGGAGUGCUUAUUACUUUUUUUAUUUUUUUUAUUUUUAAGUUUUAGUUUAGAGUAAUGUUAUUUUUACCAUCUAAAUAUAUCACAAUUUCAUACCAACUUAUACAGAAAUUGAAGUGGACUAACACAUGAAUUUAAAAACGAUCUUGUACCAGCAGAGGUGAAUAAUCACAGUAAUUAAAAGAAUGAUCUUUCUUCUUUUUUUUUUUUUUUUUUAAAAAAAGGGGAACAAUUGGUGGCACACCACGGUUAUCUACCCCUUUUGGGUGACGGGAAGACUCACAAAGACAUUUCAGCAUUUUUUUAUUUUUUUAUUUUAAGAAAUUGAUGAAACCCUAAUGUUCACGUUUUCUAGGCUCACAGUUGCCUACUCCUUCCUCUCAUCUCUCCAUCGUCAUUUUGCUUUUCCAAUGAUUGAUGGUAUCCCUCCACCUUUGCCGAUGACUGAUCAAUCCACAAUCACAAGUCAGAGGCUCAAGUUAAGAAGACAUUUCAUCCCAAAGAUUUUUGAGUUUGGUGUAGUAUGCGAAGAUUGACUACUGUCCCUGGCGGUAUUAGCCAAUUUCUUGUUGAAUCUGAUAAAUCCUGCCUUGUAAGAAUCGAUCCUCAAGAUCCUUCUGUUCGCCCUCUAAAUUCGCCAUGGGCCUCGUGGGCAUUUCAGAAAUUUACUCAAACAAUAAACUAGUGGGUGCGAGUGUGCCACUACUAAAUGCCACUAGUGGACAGGAUUUGAAUGAUUGAGAUUGCGCCUGAGUACGGCUUCUAACUAAGAGAUUGUGUCAUUGAGUGGGAGUGGCUCAAAGAAGGUUCUUUCUUUGCCUUACAGAUAAGGACUUCACUUAUGUGGAGAAAUGUCACAAUAUGUAAAUGGCAGGUUUGCUGGAAAUGUAAAUGACAGAGGAAAGUAAAUGACUGGUAUUGUAGAUUGCUUGUAAAUUAAAUGACUGGAAAUGAGUUGUAAAUAAAUGUAAUUAUUUAAAGUACAAAACAUUAUAAGUACAAAGGGAUGCCAAAUACAAGGUUUGAACUUGUUCCCAAGGGAUUGCGCAAGUUGCUCUAGUCUUGUGGCAAUUUCUAGUGGUUUGGGGAAUGGCUUUGAAGGUUGUAAAUAAAAAUACAAAGGAGAUCGAUACUACCGACUGAGCAGUAAAGCAAAAAACAAGGAAAGUAAAGGGUACUUGGCUAAAAGUAAAUGUUUACAAGGAAAUUAAGAAGCUGAUUUGAGUAGAGUUAAUUGAUUGGUUGAGUGUCCAUAAUCAUUUUGCCUCUGCUUCUUUUCAUAGAGAACUAAGAGAGACCCACUUGCUGAGAACAUUGAACCUAUGGAGAGAACUCCACUACCAGCUUGCAUAUGAAAAAAAUUUAAAAGAGGCCAACUCACAUUUCCACCACAUGUCUAUUAAUCAUACUUGCAAUAGAUUAAUAUUUAAAAGAAGCAAGUUGGCUUCUUUCGUCCACAUGUCCAUCUCCCAAGUUUGCCAACAUCCUUACUCAAAAUAAAGUCAUCACUUCAAACCAUGUGGAGAAACAUUCCCACAUGCAACUUUUGGUAUAUUUGCACACUAGUCCCCCCAAAAUGUCAUAUUUUGGCUUUUAAACCCAAUUAAGUAAAAUUGUGCAUUUUAGGUGCAAACACCUUCCACACGGCAGUCGCGGUUUGCAGUAGAGUUUACUGCCAACAAUGGUACUGUGCAUUGAUUGCAUGGUCCACAAGAGUACCUUGUCAUUGCAUCUCUGCCAAAUGAGAAAUUUUGCAUCGGACAUGGAUCCUCUCCGGAUCCAUUGAUCCUAAUCCACCAAGUCACAUCAUCUGAGCCAUUGAAAUUUGAUCCAACAGCUAAAGUUAUUAUAAAUUUUAGAGUAGGUCCCUGUUUGUAGCCGUUGGAUUAAAUUUCAAUAACCUGAAUGAUUUAACUUGGUAGAUUAGGACCAAUGGAUCCAGAGAGGAUCCAUGUCCUUUUGCAUCGGUGGUUGCAGGAGCUUUAAUUAAUACCAUCAAUAGACUCGAGCUUAUUCUUUGCACUUUGAGGAAUGUGCAUAGAAUGGCACCAUUGUCAGUAGUUGUGUCAUUCGAGAAGUUUUGAACUAGAACAAGAUUCGAUGAAUCCGAGUGAUGUAAGGUGAGAGGAUCAGAUGUGUUUAGCACCGCCUCUGUUAGCUGUGUUUGAAGUAUAGGUUGGUUGUGUUUGUAGCGGAAGAUGAUUGGGUGUCUAGAGUCACCAGGAUCGUGUUGAUCUGAUGCCAUAUAAAUUGAUGUGUGAAUAUGUUCGUACUAGAUAAUUGUAACUGUACAGAGACAAUCCUUUCCUACAAUCACCCCAAGACGGAUCAUGACUAUUUGAUCCUACAAUCACUCCAUAUCAUAUCAUAAUCAGAUCGUUCACUAGUUUGCUUCCUUUAACAGACGCAACUAUUGUAUCUUCAUGCACAACCAUUAUAGUUAACCUCUUUCACAUCUAUAUAAAAGGCGAGUCUCAUUUAAGCAUUCAACUUACUUAUCAAUUUCAUUUAUAGCAUUAACAAGUCUUUAGUAUAUUUAGACUAAAGAUUAAGCGAGUCUAUAAGGGAGUGAAACAUUGUGUUUCAGUAAGGCCUUAUGAUUUGACUGCUACUUAUACCAGAAAAGAAUGUUUAGGGAGAGAGAGAGAGAGAUGUUGAAGAAAUGAAGAAACACUAACUUGUAUGACAUCAGUUGAGAAUUACAACGCACCUCACUUUUUCUAUAUCAACUACAUAGCACAUUAAACUUGAUAGCUAACUAACUCUAGCUAUAAGAAACUAAUUUUUCCUCUAACAACCUAAUAUUCAUCUUAACUUAUCAUCCCACAGGAUUAUGACAUAUGGCACCUCAUAGAAUGAUGACACUUGUCGCUUAAUACCCCUCAAUCUCAACAAAGAAUUUCAGCCUGAGAUUGAGACAACGUUGCAAAAAUAAAGGAAAGUGAAAUUAAACAAUCAAAUCUUCUUUUUGCACUUCCUUUCUCAAACAAAAUGGUAAUUUGUGUCCAAAUGUUUGAUUCUUAUCUAAAACAAUGGAUUAAUAUGAGCGGAGAACAAAUAUCAUAGUCUAGAUUUGGUGGUGAAGACAAAUAUACCUAAAAAUCUUUCAAACUUAAUCGUAUCGUAUCCAAGCAACAUAUGCAAUUGUAUUUCCAAGUGCCUUAUACUCUGCCUCCAUUGAAUUUCGAGACACAUCAUUUCUUCUUGAAUUUCCAUGAAAUGGGUAUUGCCAUUAUAUUCCGUUCCCAUUACUAAUACUCAUCAUGUGUUUUGUACAAUAGUCCUUCAUGAAUGCCUUCCUAAGUGCCAAUUUUAUACAUAAGUAAAAUCAAAAUUGUGAAAUUUUAAAAUUUGAUAAUAGUUUGUUUCUAAAUUAUAAAUAGGCUUGUUCCAUUAAAAAGGAUUGUCCAAUGCUCUAGCUAUAAUAACAUUUGACAUCGAGUUUAUUAUUUAUAAGAGUUGAACUUGAGAUGUUUGACUAAAAAAUGAAGGGAAUUACACAUCGUAAUGCAAGUAAAAAGAAAAAAGAAUUGGAAUUUUCAAUGUACAAAUCCUAUCCCACAUCAUCCAAUGCCAAAAUUUGAGUCUCGCCUAAAUAUAAAAAAAAAAAUCUUGUUAAUCAAUUAACCAAGGGAUUUAAACCAUGUGCAUGUAUGUGAUCUUAUAAUUUUCAACAAAUAUAUUGUCUUUACUUUUAAGUUUUUUUUUUUGUAGAAUGAUACUAUAUUUACAACUAAAAGAUGGAAGGAAUAAAUUGAUAUUGAACUUGCUAUUUAUGAAAUUCAAAUCAAAGCAAGUGAAGAGUAACUGGACUAUACUACCAAGUAACAAUUUAGGUCCUUUAACUAUAAAAUCUUUGUUGACAGCAGAAGUUAUAAAACUUAAAAGAUCAUUUCUAAUGUGAUGCUAAUUUUUGUUUUUAUAACUAUUUGUAACUCAUUUCUUUCCAAAGUAUAUAUGAACAACCAAAAGCACGGAGAAAGAUGAAGCUCUACUAUAAAAUCAAUCGGCAAUUCGGAGAGUAGUCUAACUCAUUAUAAGCCCGUGCAAUGUUACUUUUUCCGUUGUGGGAAUUUGUAUAUCGCAUUCUCACACUCCUUCUUAUGUGUGACAAAUUUUUAAGUCUAAGACGUGGUCAACACAAACUAAGUGACAUAGAGCACGUGUAGCCGUUGUGUUUAACACAUGGUGUCAACAUGUUAGAAUAUCAUGAAGUUGAGGUUCUACCCAAUGUUUAAAAUAUCCACAAAAUUGUCAAUAGUUUGUUGAAAAAUUCCUAAAAAUCAAGGAUCGAUACGGAGAUUGGUGAAAUGCAAACUCCACACUAUAUCAAUGAGAUAUAAAUCAAUGAAUAUCGAUGAAUUUUACCAAUUCACUACAUAAAUUUUGAAAAUUUUCUCUAAUUUGACUAAAUCAGAAUGAGUUAAUAUACCCACCCUAUUGCAAAUUUCCAUAAUUUUCAUCGAAGGCAAUCCAUUGAUCAUAAAUUUGCAUAUUAAUAUUUUCAACUAUAUCGAUAUUUUAAAUACUGGUUCUACUAUAUAACCAAUUGACAAUAUGAGGAGUGACCUAACUCCUUAUAAGCCUUUUUUCAAGUUUGGUUUUUCUCUGAUGUGGGACUUUGCCUUUCAUAUUCUCAUAAAGUGGACUUUACAGUGUAGGAAAGCAAAUAUUUUUAUGUGUCACAUGUAGGGACGUCUUUGAGAUUUCCAGGGGGGGUCUAUGCAAACUUUAUAAAAGGGUUAUUCCUUAAGAUAGUUUAUCAAGAAAAGUAGACAAUGUAAUGAUACUAUAAAACAUACUUGAAUCAAAAUAAACUUUAGGAUUCGCUGAUUGUAGGUUUCCAAAUGUCAUUAAGUAAUAUAAGUAAAGAGAGCUAUAAACAUAUAUUGAUUAAAUAAUGAAAAACAGUUCAAUCUUAGACAAUCAAACAAGAAAAAAAAACUUCAAACGCUCUAACUUUAAAGUUUCACUUGAAUAUAUAGGAUUAUUAUUUAAUAAAAUUGGAAAAAAAAUUAUUUUUUAGGAUGUUUUUUUUGUUUUUUUUUUUUUUUUUUGAACAAAUUUGAGGUUGUUGUUAUUAGCAUUCAAAAUAUCUCAUUGUGCACUCCAAAUUAUUGUAUUUAGAAAGAAAAAAGUUUACACUUUGUUGAGCAAAAAUUGUACACAAUAUGUAAACAAAUAAUUCACUCAACACAAUUUCACCCUCAUUCAUUUUUUGAAGAGGGUUUUAUUAAUUCGAGUUUGAUCCAUUCUAGGCUACACGCCUAUUAAUUACAACCCUUCCUUUGGGAAAGGAAUAACCUUUGAUUCUAAUAUGAAUAAAUCGUAACUUAGGGAUUUGGGUGUUUAUUUGAUUUUGUGACUGCGUCUAGGUAGAGCCCCAGAUUGCCUACGUACCCUUGUUGAAGGAUCAAGUCACUUGUAGUUCCUUAUGUGUUUUGUCGGGGUUUGAUGCCUUGUGCAGUUUCAACUCGUGCAGGCAAGAAGCAACUAAUGCCUUGUGUUGUUUUAGCUUAUGUAGACGAGGACUUUAAGCCAUUAGAGUGGUUGAUCCCUUAUGCAGUUUUAGCUCUUGCGGGCGAGAACUUUGAGCCAUUGGAGUAUUAAUGCCUUGUACAGUUUUAGCUCAUGCGGGCGAGGACUUUAGGCCAUUGGAGCAACUGAUGUUCUUUAUGGCUUCGUGCCAUUUGAGACUUUUCUUCGGCUUCGUGCCAUUUGGGAUUUGAUAUGGCUUUAUGCCCUUUGAAACUUGACGUGACUUCGUGCCACUUGAGAUUUUGUUGGGGAUUCGUGCCAUUUGAUAUUUGACUUUUUCUUUGGCUUCGUGCCAUUUGAUAUUCUUUACGGCUUCAUGCCAUUUUGUAGCGGCUUUGUGCUAUUUGUAGUAGCUCCGUGCCAUUUGUAAUUUUGAAUUGGCUUUAUGUCAUUUGAAGUUUGAUGUGGCUUCAUGCCUUUUGAGCGGCUCUAUUUUUAUUCACAGAGUCCAAAAGAUAUAAAGCUCACGUGAAUACAAAAUUGUUGUUUUACUUCAACCUCAUAUGGAGCAACAUUCCCUAAAAAACCUAGGAACUUUGUUGCAAGAGCAGCAUCCAUUAAUUGGAAAUCUAGGAACUUGUGCUUGAAGACUUCUCUUUUACCUUUUGUAGAAUUUUUAAUUACUUGAUCAAAGUAGCAGAAGUGAAUUUAGUUCAUAUAAACCAAGGAUUUGUUUCAGUUUCACGGUUGCGUCUAACACUUGAUAUCAGACUGCUUACGUUUCCUUAAUGGAAUCAAACCGACGUAGUUCGUAAUUCAAAGUUGUCUCCAAUGUUUCUUUUUGUUUUAACCGCUUGAACUUGGUGCCUCCGAGAUGACUAGUGAACUCUUAUUUGGCACAUAUGUUUGCCAAAGUGAUAAUGCCCACAUGAAUAAUAUCAGAAAGCUACUCUUUUUCUUCUCUUCGAGUUCCACAUGGAUAGUAUUCUCAUCUAAUUUGCAGCAAGUGAAAAAAAAUGGCUAGUCAUAAUCAUGACUAAUGUUUGAAAGCCACAUCAGAUUCACUUUUUUUAAAAGAACUUGAUGGUGCUUUUGACUUCUUUUCUCCUAUUCUUUGUUUGGUGUCAGGAGGUAGGUUGCCCAUUUUUCCUUUGCCUUUCUGGGACCUUUGUCAAUUGGGGUGUGAUAUUCACACACUUCUUUUUACUUCUCACACACCCUUCAAAGUUCGGUCGUUGGAUCGGUUGAAUUAAAGAAGAUCAAAUGGUAGAAAUUAACAAGGGGUGUGUGAGAAGUAAAAAGGGGUGUGUGGAUAGCACACCCCUUGUCAGUUUAUCUCCAUACUUAAAUUCUAAAAUAAAGCCCAUAAUUUAGAUGGGGGCAGUGGCUUUCUUUUGCUUUCAACGUGAGUCAAUUCCCAUUUAAUUUGAGGGAAUUGUAUGUAGCAAGCUUCUUAUUUCUUUCCCUUGUACACUUGAAUUUUUCAAGUCCAGAUAGGAUGUCACAUGGCGUCAAAAUCCUAGCACAAAAAGGCUUUUCCGUAUAUAAUUAGCAUACAACUUGAAUAAAUUGUUGAUGGAAAUUAAAUAAACAAAUUAAUGAUCAUUAAUAAAAUGAUACUUAUUUAUGUGAAAAUAUAUAUAAUUGACCAUUUGUUUCUUAAAAACAAAAAGAUACAUUAUAGUUGCGUGACAAUCAAAUGAGAAAUAAGUAUUAACUAGACAUAAGAGCAUUUUCAAUAGAAUCCUUAAAUAGGAAGAACCACUGUAUAAAAUAAGUAUAAAAUAAAUAUAGUGACAAAUUGAAUCUUCAAUUGAUCGGAAAAUAAAUCUUUAAAAUAUAGAGACUUACCAAUAUUUAGUGUAUGCACCUACCUAUAGAAUUUGCAUUUGGACUCAAAUGAUGGAGCCUAAUGACAACUUGGGUGGAAAAAUCGGCCCACCAAUUUGAAUGCUGCUGCUCAGCAAUUAGCCUACUUGCCAAGGACGCGCGGGUUGUUUUGACUCGCAAGACAACCGCAUAAAUCUGAAUGCUGUUGUGCAGCAAGAAUGCUACUAGACAGCGCAUAAUGCGUUCUCUUCUUUUUUUUUUUUUCAAAUGAACGGUCAGAGUUUAUUAUGGCUUUCAAAUUUUUUCUACGGUUGAGGAUCAGCGGUUCAGGAACAAUACAAUAUGGCCGGUGCUUCUACUCUCAUUUUGGCUUUGAAAUGAACGGCCAAGAUUCAUUCUUGUUAUGGUUUUGUGAAGAAAAAAAUUGGUAUCAAAAUAUGAAAUUUUGGUCGAAAUGGUCACAAAAUAUUUUACGACAACAUAAUGUGAAAUUAAUUAGAAAAAAAAAAUUAACACAUACAAACUGUCACAUCCUGGCUCAGGCCAUUCUUAUCGUACAUACUACUUCAGGUAGUUCCGAUUUAUGUGCAGAGUAUUGCCGUACAGGUCACCGUGGUGACUCCGGUUGGUUGGAUAUUGAGCUUUAGAAUUAACCGUACAGGACCAACUGCAGGGUCUCCGGUUGAUUCCUUAUUUCACCUGUUAUAUUGAUGCAUCCUUAUUCCGUUAUUGACAUUUAUAGCAUGGCAUACUUUCUGGUUUUUUAUAAAGAUUGAUGAUUUGUGAUAUUUGAAGGUUUAUAUGCAUAUUAUGUUAUUUUCUGGGAAAGUAUACAGGUUUUACAGUGAGGGGUUAGAAAUGUUAUUAAAUGAAAUGUUUUCGAAAAACUUUGUUUUACUGAUCCACUCAACUUUGUUUUGCGCUCCUCCAAGUUCUAGUUAGCAGUAUUGGUGGCUCACGAGGAUUCCCACGGUGUUCUGACAUAAUUCACAAAAGUAGGACUCGCCCUCGGGUGUUACAUCUUAGUAAUUGUAUCUUUAAAGCUUCCAAACUGUGUAAAUGGUUACGUUACUCUUACGUGACGGCCAGCAUGCCCUCCUUCGGGACAGGGUGUGCCACAAACACCUAAUCAAAGUAUCGCAUAAAAUCGUAAAAACCUCAAAAUUUAGGGAUUCUACUGUAAGGACUCACCAAUUGGAGGUAAUAUUCCUAUAGGGACACGAAAAUUCUCUAUAAGUCUCUAAAUGAGUUUUUCUAUGUAGUGGUUGGAGUCCCUAAAUAGGGGCACCCAUUGGAGAUGCUCUAAAAAGAUUAGCAAUUCUUACUUGUUGAACAUCUAUCUCUCGCCUAUGAAUAGAACUUUCAUCAACAAUCUAUUCAUGUCCAGGCAAAAGUAGCUCAUCAUCAUCAUAAGGUUGGAAAUCUUGAUCGUCA